Long non-coding RNA from Mauremys mutica (yellowpond turtle), 372 nucleotides. RefSeq lists it as uncharacterized. The transcript is spliced from 3 exons. The record is from RefSeq and is a predicted model, not a curated record. NCBI's taxonomy places the organism in Eukaryota, Metazoa, Chordata, Testudines, Geoemydidae.
GUUUAGUAGUGGGAGAAGGGAGGUGUGUUGGGGGCUACAAAGGCAAGUAGCCUACAGUUACUCCCUGUGAGGUGGGAGUGUGGGGCUGGCAAACCCAGGGAAGUGGGGAGAGCCAGAAGUCUUCUCUGUGGUGUUAAUCAAGACCGGAAAAGAUUCUGCGGAACUUUAGAGGCACUUGACAAAGCUAGGGGGAUGGAGAAUACAAUGACAGAUAAAAUUCAGGGUGGAUACAUGCAAGACUGCAGUUCAACAUCAAGCUGCUGGAACUCUGACCCUCUGCAUGACCGUGAUGUCCAGAGGCAUCGCCGGGAACCUCCAGAUGAGUGGAUCGUGACUGGCCAUUGAGUGAAAUUUGUCUGUAUAUUGGGAGUG